RNAcentral lists this long non-coding RNA (2703 nucleotides) under Taeniopygia guttata (zebra finch). RNAcentral describes it as "lncRNA (ENSTGUG00000024342.1)". Lineage: Eukaryota; Metazoa; Chordata; Aves; Passeriformes; Estrildidae. The record is from RNAcentral.
GUGCGGUGGGCGUGGCCGCUGGUGCGGUGGGCGGCGCCGGGGGCGGAGCUCCGGCUGUGGCUGCCCCUGACCGACCUGCGCCCCCCCCCCGCCCGCGCCCCCCCGCCCCGGCGCCGCCCCGAGAGCCUCCGGGCGCACCUGGGGAGACCCCGCGGCUGGGCGGGGCCGGGGGGCGGGGCCAUGGCCUGCGAGCACGUGGAAGGUGAGCAGGGGGAGGGGAAUUGCGGGGUCAUGACCCCCCCGUGACCCCCCCAUGACCCCCCCGUGACCCCCCCGUGACCCCUGUGCCCUCAGUGACGUACGAGGCCGAGGACAUGGGGACCCUCCCCUGCCUGAGCGCCGAGCCGGGGCCCGGCCCGGGGGGCCCCCGCAGCGUCCCCACGUGAGCGGGGGGGUCUUUGGGGGUCUUGGGGGGUUUUUAGAGGGGCCUGGGGGUCUUUGGGGGGUUCUUGGGGGGGGCCUGGGGGUCUUUGGGGGGUCUUGGGGGCUUUUUCGGGGGGGCUGGGGGGUCUUUGGGGGCUCUGAAGGGUCCUGGGGGUGUCUGGGUGGUUCCUGGGGGUCUGUGAUAUGUUUUGAGGGGUCCUGGGGGUCACUCAGGAUCCAUUUUUGGGGAGCGCCCCUCCCCCAGGGGCCCGUGGGGGGGAUUUGGGGGUCCCCCCCCCCCCCCUCCGAUGCUGACCCCCCCCCGCCCCUCCCCCCAGGCUGGAGGUGACGGUGACCCCGACCCCCCCGCGGGGCCCCCCCGCGCCCCCCCCGAGCCCCUUCUCGGCCCGGCGCAGCAUCUACGAGAGCCGCGAGGUGGGACCCCCCCCAAAUUCCCUGGGGGGCCGCUGGGGGUCCCCAAAAUUCCCCCUGGGGGUCUCGGGGGGAGUCCCCAAAAUUCCCCCUGGGAGUCUCGGGGGGGUCCCCAAAUCCCCACGGGGGUCUCGGGGUCCCCCCCAGCCCCCGUAGCCGCCGCCCCUCCCCCAGCUGGUGCUGCCCGGGACCCCCGAGGAGUUGGGGGCGUUCGUGGGGGGGGCCCUGGGCGGGGCCCCCUGGAACCUGCAGGUGACACUGCCCCGAGCACACCUGAGCCUGAGCCCGGGGGGGCUCCUGCAGCGCCUCUACAGCAGGAUCAACAACGACCUCCUGCUGUGGGAGCCGGCCGGCCCCGCCCCCUCCGGAGACCACGCCCACUCCGGAGACCACGCCCCUUCAGGGGUCCACCCCCACUCUGGAGACCACGCCCCCUCCAUAGACCACGCCCCACCAGAAGGCCCCGCCCCCUUCAGGCCGUGCCGGUCGGCGCUGGGCUCAGACUCGGACGAGGACGACGAGGAUGAGGAUGAGGAGGGGGACAAAGGUUCCGGGGGGUCCCCGCAGGACCCCGGGGACCCCCGCGGGCCCCCCCCGAGCGGCGGCGCCAUCCUGGUCACCGUGCCCUGGGGGCGCGUCACGGCCGAGUGUCCCCCCGAGGUGAGGGCAUGGGGGUCCCCAAUGUCACCUGGGGUCACCCGGGGUCACCCUGGGGGUCCCCAAUGUCACCUGGGGUCACCCGGGGUCACCCUUGGGGUCCCCAAUGUCACCCGGGGUCACCCGGGGUCACCCUGGGGGUCCCCAAUGUCACCUGUGUCACCCUGGGGGUCCCCAAAUGUCACCCGGGGUCACCCGGGGUCACCCUGGGGGUCCCAAACAUCACCCAGGGUCACUCUGGGUGUCCCUAACGUCACCUGGGGUCGCCCUGGGGGUCCCAAAUGUCAUCUGUGUAACCCUGGGGGCCAUCAAAUGUCACCUGGGGUCACCCGGGGUCACCCUGGGGGUCGCCAAGAGUGUCCCCAGGGGCUGUGGGGGAGGGGCAGGGUGUGACACGUUUUCGGGGUGUCCCCAGGGGGGGAGGGGCAGGGUGUGACACGUUUUUGGGGCGUCCCCGGGGGGGAGGGGCAGGGUGUGACACAUUUUUGGGGCGUCCCCAGGGGGGGGUCCCCGGCUCGCGGCUGGAGCUGGAGUUGGGGGAGGGGCGGCUCUGCGUCCUCCCCCGCCCGGGGGGGGUCCGGGGCCGGUCCUGGGCCUGCGCCGACGCCCGGAGCUUCGUCCUGCUGCACGGUACCCCAAAAAUUCCCGAAACUGCCCCAAAAUGGCCCUAAAACUGCCCCAAAACCACUCCAAAACCGCCCCAAAAACUGCCCCAAAACUGCCCUUAAAACUGCCCCAAAAACCACCCCAAAAACUGCCUCAAAAACCACCCCAAACACCACCCCAAAAACCACCCCAAAACCACCCCAAAAAACACCCUAAAACUGCCCCAAAACUGCCCCAAAAACUGCCCCAAAACCGCCCCAAAACUGCCCCAAAACCACCCCAAAACCGCCCCAAAAACUGCCCCAAAACUGCCCUUAAAACUGCCCCAAAAACCGCCCCAAAACUGCCCCGAAACUGCCCCAAAACCUGCCCCAAAACCACCCCAAAAACUGCCCCAAAACUGCCCCAAAACCGCCCCAAAAAACACCCCAAAAACUGCCCCAAAACCGCCCCAAACCCGCCCCAAAAACCACCCCAAAACUGCCCCAACCCUGCCCCAAAACCGCCCCAAAACUGCCCCAAAACCGCCCUAAAAACUGCCCCAAAACCGCCCCAAAACCGCCCCAAAACCACCCCAAAAACUGCCCCAAAACCGCUCCAAAACCGCCCCAAAACUGCCCCAAAACAGGAAUAGGGGACCCCAAA